This 464-nucleotide ribosomal RNA is filed under the name uncultured bacterium. RNAcentral describes it as "bacterial SSU rRNA". It matches the Rfam family "Bacterial small subunit ribosomal RNA", at positions 27 to 507 of the family's 1533-position model. The record is from RNAcentral.
CGGACGAACGCUGGCGGCGUGCCUAACACAUGCAAGUCGAGCGAUGAAGUUCUUCGGAACGGAUUAGCGGCGGACGGGUGAGUAACGCGUGAGCAAUCUGCUUUACACAAAGGGAUAGCCUCGGGAAACUGGGAUUAAUACCAUAUGACACUUGGUAAUCGCAUGAGGACCAAGUCAAAGAUUUUAUCGGUGUAAGAUGAGCUCGCGUCUGAUUAGCUAGUUGGUGGGGUAAAGGCCUACCAAGGCGACGAUCAGUAGCCGGCCUGAGAGGGUGAACGGCCACACUGGAACUGAGACACGGUCCAGACUCCUACGGGAGGCAGCAGUGGGGAAUAUUGCACAAUGGGCGCAAGCCUGAUGCAGCGACGCCGCGUGAGCGAAGAAGGUUUUCGGAUCGUAAAGCUCUGUCCUCUGGGAAGAAAAAAAUGACGGUACCAGAGGAGGAAGCCCCGGCUAACUACGUG